ACCCAGUGACUCCUGAAGCAGGGGUCAGCACAGUGGAAGACUGGCUGGACUUGAUUAAAAUGGGUCAGUACAAGGAACACUUCUCCAGCACCGGCUAUGUCACCCUGGACUCAGUUCUGUAUGUCAGCGCUAGUGAACUGGAUAAGAUGGGUGUAGCACUGGCAGGCCAUCAGAAAAAGAUCUUGUCUAGUAUCCAGUGUCUUCAGGCACACCAUGGGACUCAGGUUCAGCACUGAAGUUCAUCAGCCCUACAGGAGAACGGGCCGGUACCUUCCCCUUUGUGAUCAGCAUCCAGAAAGGCAGUAGAUCGCUGCGGAUGUCCGAGAUUGUGAACUUGGAUAUCUAUCCAUCCAAGUGAAGUAAGGACAAGAAUCAACACCAUGUGACAUCACAGCACUGUGAACAUCACGCUUCACUCCUCAUUGUACAGAAGAAAGACCUUGAGAAGAAACACCGAUUGUGUCUUGUGAAUCUUUCAACUGUUUUGCGAGCGAUACUAGUAUGAUUUUCUUCAAUAAGAUGUUUAAUGUGAACUGCGCUGCGAGGGUGAGGAAGCCUUCAGCGAGAUGUCCUUGCAAACUUGUGUAUGUGGAAGUAGUUUAGAAACCUUCAGACUCGCCUUUAGAAAGCAAUGAAGCACUGAUCUCUCUUUCGCACAUACGCACACAUUUAAACGCUACAUAGAAGGGCCACUCCUUGACCCCGAAUGCCACUCCGGCCUGCUCCCGUCAAGCCCUCGGCAGCGUCUUCGGAAUAUGUCAAUUCCACCGUGGAGAUCCUAGAGUUCGGAGAGCCCACGCUUGUCACUUUUGACAAGUUCUGACAUCCGAUGUGCAGCAACAGAGAAACGAGAGGCAUUUAAGGAAUGAAAAGCAAUUGUUGCUUCACAGACAGAGACUGGACGAUGUCACGAAGAGGGCAGAUGUUGUCCUUCCUUCACACUGGCAGCAACUUUCGGUCGUCUUUUUCAACACGUUGAUGUGGAGCUGCUUCAUUUGAUGUGGCUUUUCUUUGCAUAUUUAAAGUAUUUUGCCUCAUUACGUGCGUUUCAUCACAAACGUGAGCGUCUUUUUUGGAAGGAGGAAAGGAUAUGUGUUGAGCAUUUUAUGAGGGAGACUUUAUUCCUAAAUCAUCCUGGUGUUGAUGGAGCUGCCCUCGGUGGACUGUUGAGCCUGUGUUUGUGUUGGACCCCGUUUAGCGUAGAGGUCUGAUGGUUACCGAGUGCUUGGUACCUUCAGAUUGCAUUUCCAUAUGAUAACAAAAUGGAGGAGCUUAAACAUUUUAGCAUACAAUUUCCAAGUCAUUUCAUGCACCAUGUUCUCAAUCCCAUGUAAAAAGGUGUCCGCAAUAGAUGCUGGUGCUUUAAAAAUAGCUUCAUCCUCCAUUUUCUGGUUUCUCGCCCCAUGUUUCUUGGCAGUGCUUUGUUCUGCGCUUGGAAAUGUUUGAUUGAAGAAGAAACGAUUGUAUUGCAGUAGAACUUGAGACAUUGUACAGUGUUGGUUAUUGUAUUUGUACAGUAAUGACUUAGUGUUUUGAAGGUUUUUGUCAGUUGUAAAUUAAGGCAAGGUGGUAACUCUUAUUUUAACCUUCAACUCUAGCUUUGGACAGACGAGGAUUGUGAGGAUGUAGAAUGUAAUGGAUAAUUUAGCUUUAAGGUUUUGGGGAAAGCUAAGCAUUCUCAGGAUUGUUGUUUGUCACUGAUACACGAUUCAAGAUGGCUGCAGAUCAGACAGAACUGCAAACUCAGUUUUGUCUUCUAUGGAUACACUUCCUGUUCGAAGCCUUUCGGUUUCAUUGUUCUUAUUUAUGUUUUGUCAUCACAAGUCUUUCAUUUAUACAGUAAAAAACACUUUCUGUCUGUGUUUUUGUCUUGUUUUCCAGUAAAAAAAUAUCUAAACAUCAGAAUUGCUUAAGAUUUUAAGACUUGUUUGACUUAAAAUUACAUAUUUUGCCGUUCUGAAGAAA
This is a long non-coding RNA of Sinocyclocheilus grahami, 1965 nucleotides long. RefSeq lists it as uncharacterized. Lineage: Eukaryota; Metazoa; Chordata; Actinopteri; Cypriniformes; Cyprinidae. The record is from RefSeq and is a predicted model, not a curated record. The transcript is spliced from 3 exons.